RNAcentral lists this ribosomal RNA (315 nucleotides) under uncultured bacterium. RNAcentral's name for it is "bacterial SSU rRNA". It matches the Rfam family "Bacterial small subunit ribosomal RNA", at positions 428 to 759 of the family's 1533-position model. The record is from RNAcentral.
AACCUCUUUUCUGGGGGACGAGUAAGGACGGUACCUCAGGAAUAAGUCUCGGCUAACUACGUGCCAGCAGCCGCGGUAAAACGUAGGAGGCGAGCGUUAUCCGGAUUUACUGGGCGUAAAGCGUACGCAGGUGGCUUCGUGAGUCGGACAUGAAAGCUCCUGGCUUAACUGGGAGAGGUUGUUCGAUACUGCGGGGCGUGAGGUUGGGAGAGGGACGUGGAAAUCGCGGUGUAGUGGUGGAAUGCGUAGAUAUCGGGAGGAACACCAGUGGAGCAAGCGGCGUCAUGGCACACACCUGACGCUGAGGUACGAAAG